This is a non-coding RNA of Cadophora malorum, 146 nucleotides long. Lineage: Eukaryota; Fungi; Ascomycota; Leotiomycetes; Helotiales; Ploettnerulaceae. The record is from the annotation of a GenBank genome assembly.
GCCCGGCUGGCACAAUUGGUUAGCGCGUGUAUGUACCACUGACUCAAAAUCGUUGGAUUGUUGAUACUGACUAUCUCAGGGGCCUUUUAAGAAGAUUCUCUUCUAAGAAUAGCCCAAGGUUGAGAGUUCGAGCCUCUCGUCGGGCG